AGCUCAGUUGGUAGAGCAUCUCGUUUACACCGAGAGGGUCGGCGGUUCGAACCCGUCGCCGCCUACCA
RNAcentral lists this transfer RNA (68 nucleotides) under Brevundimonas sp. Its description in RNAcentral is "tRNA-Val". It matches the Rfam family "tRNA", at positions 9 to 71 of the family's 71-position model. Rfam says of the family: Transfer RNA (tRNA) molecules are approximately 80 nucleotides in length. Their secondary structure includes four short double-helical elements and three loops (D, anti-codon, and T loops). Lineage: Bacteria; Pseudomonadati; Pseudomonadota; Alphaproteobacteria; Caulobacterales; Caulobacteraceae. The record is from RNAcentral.